This 3022-nucleotide ribosomal RNA is filed under the name Staphylococcus aureus. RNAcentral describes it as "23S ribosomal RNA". It matches the Rfam family "Bacterial large subunit ribosomal RNA". Lineage: Bacteria; Bacillati; Bacillota; Bacilli; Caryophanales; Staphylococcaceae. The record is from RNAcentral.
GAUUAAGUUAUUAAGGGCGCACGGUGGAUGCCUUGGCACUAGAAGCCGAUGAAGGACGUUACUAACGACGAUAUGCUUUGGGGAGCUGUAAGUAAGCUUUGAUCCAGAGAUUUCCGAAUGGGGAAACCCAGCAUGAGUUAUGUCAUGUUAUCGAUAUGUGAAUACAUAGCAUAUCAGAAGGCACACCCGGAGAACUGAAACAUCUUAGUACCCGGAGGAAGAGAAAGAAAAUUCGAUUCCCUUAGUAGCGGCGAGCGAAACGGGAAGAGCCCAAACCAACAAGCUUGCUUGUUGGGGUUGUAGGACACUCUAUACGGAGUUACAAAGGACGACAUUAGACGAAUCAUCUGGAAAGAUGAAUCAAAGAAGGUAAUAAUCCUGUAGUCGAAAAUGUUGUCUCUCUUGAGUGGAUCCUGAGUACGACGGAGCACGUGAAAUUCCGUCGGAAUCUGGGAGGACCAUCUCCUAAGGCUAAAUACUCUCUAGUGACCGAUAGUGAACCAGUACCGUGAGGGAAAGGUGAAAAGCACCCCGGAAGGGGAGUGAAAUAGAACCUGAAACCGUGUGCUUACAAGUAGUCAGAGCCCGUUAAUGGGUGAUGGCGUGCCUUUUGUAGAAUGAACCGGCGAGUUACGAUUUGAUGCAAGGUUAAGCAGUAAAUGUGGAGCCGUAGCGAAAGCGAGUCUGAAUAGGGCGUUUAGUAUUUGGUCGUAGACCCGAAACCAGGUGAUCUACCCUUGGUCAGGUUGAAGUUCAGGUAACACUGAAUGGAGGACCGAACCGACUUACGUUGAAAAGUGAGCGGAUGAACUGAGGGUAGCGGAGAAAUUCCAAUCGAACCUGGAGAUAGCUGGUUCUCUCCGAAAUAGCUUUAGGGCUAGCCUCAAGUGAUGAUUAUUGGAGGUAGAGCACUGUUUGGACGAGGGGCCCCUCUCGGGUUACCGAAUUCAGACAAACUCCGAAUGCCAAUUAAUUUAACUUGGGAGUCAGAACAUGGGUGAUAAGGUCCGUGUUCGAAAGGGAAACAGCCCAGACCACCAGCUAAGGUCCCAAAAUAUAUGUUAAGUGGAAAAGGAUGUGGCGUUGCCCAGACAACUAGGAUGUUGGCUUAGAAGCAGCCAUCAUUUAAAGAGUGCGUAAUAGCUCACUAGUCGAGUGACACUGCGCCGAAAAUGUACCGGGGCUAAACAUAUUACCGAAGCUGUGGAUUGUCCUUUGGACAAUGGUAGGAGAGCGUUCUAAGGGCGUUGAAGCAUGAUCGUAAGGACAUGUGGAGCGCUUAGAAGUGAGAAUGCCGGUGUGAGUAGCGAAAGACGGGUGAGAAUCCCGUCCACCGAUUGACUAAGGUUUCCAGAGGAAGGCUCGUCCGCUCUGGGUUAGUCGGGUCCUAAGCUGAGGCCGACAGGCGUAGGCGAUGGAUAACAGGUUGAUAUUCCUGUACCACCUAUAAUCGUUUUAAUCGAUGGGGGGACGCAGUAGGAUAGGCGAAGCGUGCGAUUGGAUUGCACGUCUAAGCAGUAAGGCUGAGUAUUAGGCAAAUCCGGUACUCNNNNNNNNNNNNNNNNNNNNNNNNNNNNNNNNNNNNNNNNNNNNNNNNNNNNNNNNNNNNNNNNNNNNNNNNNNNNNNNNNNNNNNNNNNNNNNNNNNNNUUAAGGCUGAGCUGUGAUGGGGAGAAGACAUUGUGUCUUCGAGUCGUUGAUUUCACACUGCCGAGAAAAGCCUCUAGAUAGAAAAUAGGUGCCCGUACCGCAAACCGACACAGGUAGUCAAGAUGAGAAUUCUAAGGUGAGCGAGCGAACUCUCGUUAAGGAACUCGGCAAAAUGACCCCGUAACUUCGGGAGAAGGGGUGCUCUUUAGGGUUAACGCCCAGAAGAGCCGCAGUGAAUAGGCCCAAGCGACUGUUUAUCAAAAACACAGGUCUCUGCUAAACCGUAAGGUGAUGUAUAGGGGCUGACGCCUGCCCGGUGCUGGAAGGUUAAGAGGAGUGGUUAGCUUCUGCGAAGCUACGAAUCGAAGCCCCAGUAAACGGCGGCCGUAACUAUAACGGUCCUAAGGUAGCGAAAUUCCUUGUCGGGUAAGUUCCGACCCGCACGAAAGGCGUAACGAUUUGGGCACUGUCUCAACGAGAGACUCGGUGAAAUCAUAGUACCUGUGAAGAUGCAGGUUACCCGCGACAGGACGGAAAGACCCCGUGGAGCUUUACUGUAGCCUGAUAUUGAAAUUCGGCACAGCUUGUACAGGAUAGGUAGGAGCCUUUGAAACGUGAGCGCUAGCUUACGUGGAGGCGCUGGUGGGAUACUACCCUAGCUGUGUUGGCUUUCUAACCCGCACCACUUAUCGUGGUGGGAGACAGUGUCAGGCGGGCAGUUUGACUGGGGCGGUCGCCUCCUAAAAGGUAACGGAGGCGCUCAAAGGUUCCCUCAGAAUGGUUGGAAAUCAUUCAUAGAGUGUAAAGGCAUAAGGGAGCUUGACUGCGAGACCUACAAGUCGAGCAGGGUCGAAAGACGGACUUAGUGAUCCGGUGGUUCCGCAUGGAAGGGCCAUCGCUCAACGGAUAAAAGCUACCCCGGGGAUAACAGGCUUAUCUCCCCCAAGAGUUCACAUCGACGGGGAGGUUUGGCACCUCGAUGUCGGCUCAUCGCAUCCUGGGGCUGUAGUCGGUCCCAAGGGUUGGGCUGUUCGCCCAUUAAAGCGGUACGCGAGCUGGGUUCAGAACGUCGUGAGACAGUUCGGUCCCUAUCCGUCGUGGGCGUAGGAAAUUUGAGAGGAGCUGUCCUUAGUACGAGAGGACCGGGAUGGACAUACCUCUGGUGUACCAGUUGUCGUGCCAACGGCAUAGCUGGGUAGCUAUGUGUGGACGGGAUAAGUGCUGAAAGCAUCUAAGCAUGAAGCCCCCCUCAAGAUGAGAUUUCCCAACUUCGGUUAUAAGAUCCCUCAAAGAUGAUGAGGUUAAUAGGUUCGAGGUGGAAGCAUGGUGACAUGUGGAGCUGACGAAUACUAAUCGAUCGAAGACUUAAUCAA